CCUACGGGGGACAGCAGUCGAGAAUCUUUCACAAUGGGGGAAACCCUGAUGGUGCGACGCCGCGUGGGGGAGUGAAGGUCUUCGGAUUGUAAACCCCUGUCAUGUGGGAGCAAAUUAAAAAGAUAGUACCACAAGAGGAAGAGACGGCUAACUCUGUGCCAGCAGCCGCGGUAAUACAGAGGUCUCAAGCGUUGUUCGGAAUCACUGGGCGUAAAGCGUGCGUAGGCUGUUUCGUAAGUCGUGUGUGAAAGGCGCGGGCUCAACCCGCGGACGGCACAUGAUACUGCGAGACUAGAGUAAUGGAGGGGGAACCGGAAUUCUCGGUGUAGCAGUGAAAUGCGUAGAUAUCGAGAGGAACACUCGUGGCGAAGGCGGGUUCCUGGACAUUAACUGACGCUGAGGCACGAAGGCCAGGGGAGCGAAAAGGAUUAGAUACCCCUGUAGUC
RNAcentral lists this ribosomal RNA (446 nucleotides) under uncultured bacterium. Its description in RNAcentral is "partial 16S ribosomal RNA". It matches the Rfam family "Bacterial small subunit ribosomal RNA", at positions 338 to 795 of the family's 1533-position model. The record is from RNAcentral.